GAUCCUGGCUCAGGAUGAACGCUAGCUACAGGCUUAACACAUGCAAGUCGAGGGGCAGCAUGGACCCAGCUUUGCUGGGUUUGAUGGCGACCGGCGCACGGGUGAGUAACGCGUAUCCAACCUGCCCUUUACUCCGGGAUAGUCUCCUGAAAGGGAGUUUAAUACCGGAUGUGUUUGUCUUUCCGCAUGGGAGCGACAAAUAAAGAUUAAUUGUAAGGAUGGGGGAUGCGUCCCAUUAGCUUGUUGGCGGGGG
RNAcentral lists this ribosomal RNA (253 nucleotides) under uncultured bacterium. RNAcentral's name for it is "partial 16S ribosomal RNA". It matches the Rfam family "Bacterial small subunit ribosomal RNA", at positions 15 to 258 of the family's 1533-position model. The record is from RNAcentral.